Molecule: long non-coding RNA, 624 nt
Filed under: Homo sapiens (human)
Lineage: Eukaryota; Metazoa; Chordata; Mammalia; Primates; Hominidae
Description: HSALNT0169299
Source: RNAcentral
CCUUGAGCCUCUAUUUCCAGACCUCCUCACUGGGUCUCAGCUGAGAACCCACUUUCAGACAAGCAUCUUUAGUUCAGAGUUCCUCACAGUGAGAGGAUCCCUACCCCGCCUUGCUGUCUGUCCUGCAUCCAUUAUACCCUCACACCGUGCUACUCAGCAGGGGAGAAAUGGAGCCCUGGGGAGCCAGCACUUUUCUCUUCUGCCUCUUCCUUGCCUUCCCUCAGGAAGGGGAAAAACUCUGGGUUGUUUGAGUUUGGUCCCCUGUCCUAAGUGACCACAGGAACACUAGGCAGUGAGUACAUAGGGAUUCUUAGCAGAGAGCUAACAAGUCUUCAGAAAUAUAGAAAACAUAGAAGAAGCUUUGAGUGAGGAGAUCAGAAUGUAAUUAGGAGUUUCUUCUGGAGCAAACUCCACCCCAAGAGAGUGAUCCCAAGUUCUUGAAGGCCCACCUGAGCAGAUGACACCAGCGUCUUCACUAUGGCCACAGUUGUGGGAGAGCCAGCCAUUGUGGGGGCAGCUCCACAGGUAGGACUCAUAGCCUGAGCAGCGCACGUCAUCCAGGACAAUGGGUCCUGAACCCUGGCCAAACCGGGCAUUUCCUGGGGCUGACGUGGCCCAGCCACA